This is a long non-coding RNA of Leptinotarsa decemlineata (Colorado potato beetle), 733 nucleotides long. The record is from RefSeq and is a predicted model, not a curated record. Lineage: Eukaryota; Metazoa; Arthropoda; Insecta; Coleoptera; Chrysomelidae.
GUAAGUACUUUGUGAUUUUCAGUAUUAUUUAUCUUUUUUUUUCAUAGCAUCCUCAAGCUUAACAUUAUAUUUAUUGAUAAAUUAUUUGCUACACUUCAUGAUUUCAAUAGAAUUAUGUUUUUUUAUCCUGUCAAAAAUGUAACCCAUAUUACCUAUAUAUUUAUAAAAUGGAGUUUUUUUUAAUAAAUUGUCAAUUUUUGUAGAAAUUUUUUAAGAGGCAGAUUUGCUACAUCACUUUAUUUCUUUUGCUUGUUGACAGGUGUUACAGGGUUACUCAGUUCACUAUUUAUUUAAACUUCACUCUGCAUUUUUGUCUCGUUUUUCUCUAACUUCUCUUUCUUUUCCUUCUCUUUAAAAAUUAGUUAAUUACCAUAAUGUUGAAUAUAUGUCAUAUGAAUGUCAGAUCCUUACCAUCAAAAUUUAAUGAAUUUCAUAAUCAGAUUCUUGCUGGGGACUAUGAUAUUGUGGGAGUAACAGAAACAUGGAUGCAUGCAGGUAUUGACAGCAGUAAUGUGAAACUUAUAAAUUUGGAAAGGACCACGCACAAAGCUCAUGGAAAUUGGAUUCUGUAAGUUUUAUUUACUUCAUCCGCUACUGAACUAAUAUUUCAACCGGUAUCAUGUUUUUUUUAUCAAGUUACUAGUUGUCUAUUGGUUGUCAUGAUGACAUAUCAUUAGUAAUGUCUGUACUCAUGUAAUGUAUACAUGGUAAAUAAAAGAUUUUUCUAAAGUUU